RNAcentral lists this ribosomal RNA (304 nucleotides) under uncultured bacterium. Its description in RNAcentral is "bacterial SSU rRNA". It matches the Rfam family "Bacterial small subunit ribosomal RNA", at positions 47 to 347 of the family's 1533-position model. The record is from RNAcentral.
CCUAACACAUGCAAGUCGAACGGUAACAGGAAGCAGCUUGCUGCUUCGCUGACGAGUGGCGGACGGGUGAGUAAUGUCUGGGAAACUGCCUGAUGGAGGGGGAUAACUACUGGAAACGGUAGCUAAUACCGCAUAACGUCGCAAGACCAAAGAGGGGGACCUUCGGGCCUCUUGCCAUCGGAUGUGCCCAGAUGGGAUUAGCUAGUAGGUGGGGUAACGGCUCACCUAGGCGACGAUCCCUAGCUGGUCUGAGAGGAUGACCAGCCACACUGGAACUGAGACACGGUCCAGACUCCUACGGGAG